RNAcentral lists this ribosomal RNA (207 nucleotides) under uncultured bacterium. RNAcentral describes it as "partial 16S ribosomal RNA". It matches the Rfam family "Bacterial small subunit ribosomal RNA", at positions 568 to 774 of the family's 1533-position model. The record is from RNAcentral.
CGCGUAGGCGGCCUGCUAAGUCUGGAGUGAAAGUCCCGCUUUCAAGGUGGGAAUUGCUUUGGAUACUGGUGGGCUGGAGUGCAGGAGAGGAAAGCGGAAUUACCGGUGUAGCGGUGAAAUGCGUAGAGAUCGGUAGGAACACCAGUGGCGAAGGCGGCUUUCUGGACUGAAACUGACGCUGAGGCGCGAAAGCGUGGGGAGCAAACA